RNA transcript from Cucurbita moschata (crookneck pumpkin), 1774 nucleotides. RefSeq lists it as uncharacterized. NCBI's taxonomy places the organism in Eukaryota, Viridiplantae, Streptophyta, Magnoliopsida, Cucurbitales, Cucurbitaceae. The record is from RefSeq and is a predicted model, not a curated record. The transcript has 12 exons.
GGAAACUAAACUGCCUACUCGAACCACCUAACUGAAGCUACUCUCACUCCAACUCUCUCUCUCUCUCUGCUUGCCGGCGGAGGGAAUUCUGCUUUCACGAGUUUCUUCGCUCUUCACAAGCUUCCCGAUCUUUAUUAUCUGUAUUAGCACGAAAUUUCUGUUUCAAUUUGCUUACAAUUUCCUCUUAAUUCGAGUUUUCGCAAUUCGAGCGAUCGGAAAAUUUCUUCUCCCAGCCGAUGGAUCGUGCUGGGUUUAAAUAGGCGAAACGAUGAUACGCAUCACGAUGAGCUCGUUGAUGCCCUGUUUUUCCUGUUGUGCUUGAAAUGGUGGAGAGAUUUGGGUGAACAGGAGAGGAAGCUUAAUGAAGCAGAAGGUUGCGCAGCGGAAGGCGCUCUUCCAAUGGAGGAGGAAGCUCGUAUUUGUUUUUCUGCUUGUAUUUUGCUUCGGGAGUUUAGUUAUGAUGCAGUCUCGGUAUGGUCGGGUUAUGAUGAUGUCGUCGUUGCAUCGUCAAUCGGCUCAGGGGCCGAAAAUCGCGUUUCUGUUCAUAGCUCGGAACCGGCUUCCGUUGGACAUAGUUUGGGAUGCGUUUUUUCAGGAGGGGGAGAAUAAGUUUUCGAUCUAUGUUCACUCGAGGCCUGGAUUUUUAUUUAACAAGGCGACGACAAGAUCGAUCUAUUUUUUAAAUCGUCAAGUUAAUGAUAGUAUACAGGUAGACUGGGGUGAGGCAAGCAUGAUUGAGGCAGAACGCAUCUUGCUUAGACAUGCACUUACCGAUACUUCAAAUCAACGAUUUAUUUUUCUUUCUGACAGCUGCAUACCAUUGUACAACUUCAGCUACACAUAUGACUAUGUCAUGUCAACUUCAACUAGUUUUGUGGACAGUUUUGCUGAUACAAAAGAAGGGCGUUACAAUCCUAAAAUGGAUCCUGUAAUUCCUGUUCAAAACUGGAGGAAAGGAUCUCAGUGGGUUGUAUUGACAAGAAAGCACGCGAAGGUUGUAGUGAAGGACAUUACAGUCUUUCCUAUGUUUCAACAGCAUUGCAAGAGGAAGUCACUACCAGAGUUUUGGCGUGAUCGUCCAUUUCCCAAGGAUGUAUCCAAGGAACACAACUGUAUUCCUGAUGAACAUUAUGUUCAGACUUUAUUGGCCCAAGAAGGGCUUGAAGAAGAGCUCACACGAAGAUCACUUUCAUAUUCAGCAUGGGAUCUCUCAUACUCCAAAGACCACGAACGUCGUAAUUGGCAUCCUGUAACAUACAAAUUUUCAGACGCUACACUUGAUCUAAUACAAUCUAUAAAGGGUAUUGAUAAUAUAUAUUACGAAACCGAGUAUCGAAGAGAAUGGUGUAGCAGAAAUGGAAAACCAUCCAGAUGUUUUCUUUUCGCGAGGAAGUUCACCCGUCCAGCCGCCCUCCGCCUUCUUAAUAUGUCUGCGCUCGGAGUGAAGCCUCUGUAAUAUUUGUAAAGACGUCCAAAUCCUACAAUUGCCAGUCGCACAGAAUAAUUUCUCGUUCUCGAUAUAGAGGGUCUUACAUUAAAGGAGUUUAGGCACCAAGUUGAAAUAAGUAUUAAACAUUCUUCAAGAGAUUAAGAAUGAAAAUGGGCUAAUCCGUGCAUCAAACUUUAAAAUGAAAUGAAUAAAACAACAAGAACUUUAGUAGCAGGGCCGGAAGCACAUCAUUAUUGGCAUUGAUCCCAAGGGAGAAGGAAUGACGCAGGAAUUGGAGAGAGUGGUUUGUAAUAUUCUUUCAAACAGGGAAUUUAGUACGGAAAA